This 65-nucleotide transfer RNA is filed under the name Pinctada albina. RNAcentral's name for it is "tRNA-Trp". Lineage: Eukaryota; Metazoa; Mollusca; Bivalvia; Pterioida; Pteriidae. The record is from RNAcentral.
AGGUCUUUAAGAUAAGUUAGUCUGCAGGUUUCCAAAACCUGGUGUGGGGGUUACCCCAGGACCUG